Molecule: long non-coding RNA, 3757 nt
Organism: Bos taurus (domestic cattle)
Lineage: Eukaryota; Metazoa; Chordata; Mammalia; Artiodactyla; Bovidae
Source: Ensembl
CCGUCACAGCACCCAUGGAAGUGUGUCCGCCGAGUGCAGGCGUGUGAAGGAGCCACAGGAGGAGCUCAGCGUCUCGCCUGCUGCACUAUGAACCCUGUACCCAGGGGACCUGCCACGCGUGGUGACGGUGAGAGAGAGGACGUGGACGUCCCCAGGGACUCCGGCGGAUGGUCACAGCCCCCAGUACUGGUGUGUCGGAGGGGAGAGGUGGUAGCAAGGCCGGGCCUGCCAACGAGGAAAUCCCCAGCUCUUAAUGGCAAAGCCAGGAACAGUUUCACUCAGCAAGGAAGGCGUACGAGAACUGAAAGGCCCUUGUGAAGCGUCAGAAGGCAGAGUCCUUCGUCAUACGUGUAGUUACUCCCCUCGUGUGUGCUGGGACUUACCAACCCUUCCGACCUGGUUUUCAGAAAGUGACUCAUAUUUUCCACUCGUAUUUCAUUUGUUUACAUCAGCGGUUCUCAAGCUGUGGUCCGAGGAUGCUGGCGACCCUCAAGACCCUUUCAAGAGACCCACCAGGCAAAACUAAGACUCAUGACCAUACCAACGUCGUUCACUCUUUACCUUCUCAUUUCCUCUCGAAAGUACAAAUGAUGAAUUCUAGAGGCUGAAGCCUGCUCUGAUAGCUGAUGGACUCACGCUUGUGCAUUCAUGGGCUUUGAAAGUCUUUCAACCUUAAUUUCUCCUGUAGGGAAGCCUGGUGUUCUGCAGGCCAUGGGCUCGCAGAGUUGGACACAACUGAGCGACUGAACAACAACAAAUACUGAUAGAUGUGAACCAUAUAAACAAAAGCUCUUUGGGAAUAUUCAAUAAUUUUUAAGAGUGCAAAGGAGUCUGGCUACAAACAGUUUGAGAACUGCUAGUUUCUAUAUUUAUUAAAUCACACAUUUCUGAUAUCAAGCACAAUUGGCAUAAGAAAGACUUGGGAAUAAGCGUAACUGACUUGCAAUAAAUAAACACAGAGUUGACUGGAGGGCAUUUUGCAGAAAGGCCAAGAGCACUAAGCCUGCCCUGAGCAUCGGCUAGGAUGCUGCGGAAUGAGGAGAUGGGCAUCUGUCUGCGCGGAGGCAGACGAGAGGCAUCCACGGUACCCGAGGCGACGGAGUGACAGCGACGUUGCUGUUACGGAACACGUGCUGCGCGCCAGGGCCUGUGCUCAGUGUCUCCGUGGAGCCUCACCACCACCCUGAGAGAGGGCUUCUGCUUAUACAGGUGGGGCAGCUGAGGCUGAGAGGGGCCGACACUAAUAAGCCCGAGACCACCCCCCUGCCACCCAGCUCCUGAGGAGCAGAGUUAGGCCUGGAUCUCAGGUCUGCUGAUCUCCAGGACCUGCCUCUUAACCAGCUGUCCUCACCCCUGAGUCCCUGAAGUCUCCCCAGUUUCUAAGGAGGCAGGUGGGGCGGGCAGUGAAGUCAGGUGGGUACCCGUACCUUCCGCACAGUCUGGGCCGGGAGGCCGACACAGGCAGUGGGGACUGAGGUCAGGACCAGGUGGCCUCUUCAAGUCAUUUCCUUGUGGAAGCAGCAGAACGGACAUGAACGGUGCCCCACCCCCUCUUCCGUGCACCCCAUCAGUUGGUGCCAGCCUUGUAGGGGCCUUUGGGCAGAGCCUUGAUCCUGGCCUCUGCCCCCUCUUUCUGCCUCCCCUCUGUGUCCCACACCCAUCUGGAAGGGAGGAAGCUGAGCUCUGUGUGUGCUGAGCCCCUGACUUUUUAGGGGAUCGAACAGGAGGGACCGGCUGCUCCAGGGGCCCUUCCAUCUCAUGGUCUGAAGCUUCCUCAGAGCCCAGGAAUCCUGGGUUGCCCCCAUCCUGCCAGUUCUGAGGUUAGUGAGGGGCCCUCUGUGUUCCCUGUGGGCAACAGCUCCUGCGGCCCUGUGGGUUGGAGUCACGGGUGAGGAAUGGGGAGUGGCCGCUUCCCUCCUCGGGGCUGGCCUCCCCACGGUCACCAUGGAGAUCGUUUGUUUACUCCCACCUCCACAUGAGAUAAUCUGGAGAAACUGCCAUUUUUCUACACUUUCAACAUGAUGUGGAAUUCAGGCAAAUUCCAAAGCCACGCCAGCCUCCAGUUCCAAAGGCAGCCUACACGGACCUUAGGGUGCCCGCCAACUUUCCCUAAGAGGGCACACACCUCACCUCUGCUCCACAUUGUCUGUCUCCCUGCCUUUGCUCAAGCCAUUGUGCCAUCAGGAGUGCCCACCCUCCCCAUUGUUCAACUGAGUCAACUUCAUCCCCCCUUCACCCCAAGGCCAAGUGCAAACAUUACCUCCUCCUCCAUGACGGCCUCCUGGGUUCCACCCUGUCUCCCACCUCCUGACCUGCUUGAGGACUCUUCCUUCCUUGUCUCACCUCUGUCUAGCUUGGCCCUGAUUGCUUUCUACGUGACUCAGUAGUCACUCAUGUGUUUUUGUCUCCCCUCCAGACAGUGGAUCCUGGGGACACACAGGCUGUUCCUUCCUCCACGCUUAGAUACCAGCCGUGGAGUGAUGUUCCCGAGAGGGAGGCCGAGAGUGCCUGAACUGGGAGUUUGGUGAUCUGGACGAAUCUGAGCAAGUGGUUUGACUUCUCCGAACCCCGUUUUCCCCAACUUCUGAACAGUGUGAGGUACCUGGAGGAUUGCAAGGGGCCUUUUCAGAUCUGCAUUUCUCUUUGUUGCCUUUUGAGAACUCACCACAUUCCCCAAGCUGCUUCCAUGCCCAAUGUGUUUUGCAGACAAAGUGUCUGGAGAAGGGAUUGGGGCGGGUGUGGCAACCCCCUCCCCAUUCUUCAGGGAUUCCAGGAAGCCGGACCUGGGAGUAGGAGGCUGUCACUGACAUGCAGCCCUGUGCUGCCCCCGUGUGACCUAUGUGGGCACUGCACCAGGAAAGCCUUUCUCACCAACCUCUCUGAGGGCUACCCUGACAGAUGCCCAUCACCAACCUGGCUGGCCCGCUCAACCUCCCGCUGUCUUCCUGCUCACCUCUCACCUGGGCCAGGGAGCUCCUGGCGACCAAGGAUCAUCUUAGGAUGAGGACGCCCCAGGGUGGAAGGACUAAGAUCUCCGAUCAGCCAACCAGUGAGGCAUGUGCUGAAUGGAGCAAAGCUGGCUGGGCUGGACUUGGGUUCCAAUAGGCAGGUCUGGAGACAUGGCCACAAGGCAGCUCUGGGAGUGUCUAGGGUGUCAAUGACAAGCCAAGCUUGGCACAAUCCAGAAGAAUCGCUGUGCCCACGCUGCCAGGACAUUCAAAGACACACUGCCUAAUGAGCAAAGAAAAUGACCGCGCUUUACCAGCAGCUGCUGCAAGACACGUUUGAAGGGUCCAGUUUGUUAUCUUCCCUCCACUUCCUCACAGCUGUCUCCCUCGGGCUCCUCAAGCUCCUGCUCAUCUGUCCCAGUUGCUCCAGGAGGCUUCUCCCCCACCACCUGGAGACUGCCCCUUCCAGAGCGUGUGACCUUCUCAGCACCCCCAUCAGCUGAGAGGUGAUCUGGUCCAGGCUGCUCGCAUUUCAGUGGCCAGAACUCGUCACGUGCCCCCUCCAGCCAUGGGACAGGCAGUCUGCCAGGAGCUGGAAGGAGAAUUGAUGUCAAGGGUCAUCUCUAGUGCUCCCAGCUCCCUCAGAACCCCCACGGGUUCCAGUCUGGCCCUUCUUAGUCAUUUUCCCACCUCUCAGUCACUUUCGGAUUUUCUGCCUCUUUGUACCUGCACUGCAUUCUGUGAAAUUCCCUCCCAUUUAUGUCUCAGUUCACCAAAUCUUUCUACUUCUCUAUAUCACCAACCCUGGU